Non-coding RNA from Aedes aegypti (yellow fever mosquito), 119 nucleotides. Lineage: Eukaryota; Metazoa; Arthropoda; Insecta; Diptera; Culicidae. The record is from Rfam.
UGCCCAGCAACUCCUAUCCCUACCUCCUCGUGGUACUGACCGGGGUACGAGUAACCUUGAGGAAGAUCGGGUAACCAACCCCCGGUGGGAACUUUGGUCGUAUGCUGACAGGGAGCUGG